CCCUUUCCCUGUUUUCCCCUUUUCCUGUCUUUCCCUUUUCCUGGUGUUUUCCCCUCUCUCACAAGAUUUAUACUUGAUAAAAAUAUUGAAGCCUUAAUUUUGCCCGUUGAUAUUCAGAUUUUGUAUUUUAUAGACCAAAACUUUAUGUUUUUUUUUUUUUAGAAAUAGUCCCAUUUGGGGAUGCCCCUUGUCUCAGAGCUUUCCCGCCUUUUUUUGUGAGGGGGGCGGGAGGGGCCGGCCGCCAUUUUGUGUGGGGGACCGGAGGGGCUGGUCGCCAUUUUGGUGUGGGCAAAGGGGUUGUCUGCCAUUUGUUGUGUGGGGAGGGGGCUUCUUGUCAUUUUUUUGUGUGGGGUGGGGCUGUCUGCCGUCAGGUUGGGGUGGAGGAGGCUGCCCACCAUGUCACAUAAGGCAGAUGGAAUUAUGUAUGGCAGAUCACUUACCAUGGUAACAUAGAUUAUGACAGCUGAGCCAUUGACUUUUUUAUACUUAAGAUCCAGUGGAAGCCACGGAAAAACUAUAAAAGAUCUCGCCUUCUUGAGGAAGGAACAUCCAGUAAUCCUGUUCUACCUGACAAGUGCUCUGCUCAGCUGGCAUCGAGCUCCUGUUCCGAAGAAAAUAGCCUCAAACCAGGUCUGAAAGGCGGUCUGGACCCACAGCUACACCAUCUGUGACCCCGAAGGUAAUCUCCACAGAGUUGCCUUGUUUGGGUUUACUUGAGUUUCAGAGUGCAGGGAUUAAAGACCAGUUGGUGUUACCCUGAAUAUGAGGGGAAAAACCCCUACAACUAGUAAAACAAACAAGUGGACCACCAGCCCUGGUGUUGCCAUCAGAGCCCACUGUUCGGCUGUGUUGCCAGACUCAAACACUAUUGCCGGUGUGUGCUAGUAGACACAACAAAUAUGUCACUUCUGACUCCAAAUUUACAUUGUUGGGAUUGCUCAUGAGGAAUUUGGACACUAGUAGACAUGGGAAAUGCUCAUGUUUACCCAGAUGCAUGAACUUUAGAAGAAAAGUCAUGUAACAAGCCAAAUAUUUGAACAGCGUAUGCAUUUCAGAUAUCCUGUGUACAAAUGUUUGUCUAUCAUGCUGUCCUCUGUGCCUUCCUCAGGUUUUUAAAUGCCCUUGCAAAGGAAGGACUGUAGUUAAACAUCUGCACUGGGUGAAGAGCCCUGUGCAAGAUUUCCUGGUUUGUGUAGCUGGACACUCUCUGAAGAGACAACCCAGUAGGAAAAACCUAAAUGUGUUCAGCCGCUGAGCUGCAGAAUUAUUAUAUUUGGCCCUAAGUGCUUUCUAAUUCAAUUUGGUUUGUAUUUCCUAAGCUUUUUCAUAUGUUGGAAGAUGGAUAUUGAAAGUCUUUGUUUACUGUAGGUUUGCCAGAGUCAGCAAAGGUUGGACCUGUUAAUAAAUCUGUAAUGCAAGAACUCUCAGAUAAUGAGAUCGUGAAAUUAGCAACAUGUUCUUCACUGUUAGUAAUUGUUUCAUCUUGUGAGAGGAUGAAUUUGUACCUAUUGGAGAUCAGAUUUCGAUUGCACAUGUCUCUGCAAAAGCUUAUCAGGCAGCCUGCUGUUUGCCCACAUGGAGGAAAGUUGCUAGAGCUGAGGUAAGGAUAAAAUAUUGUUUUCAAACACCCGCACCCAGGCAUGACAGUUUGUAUCCUCAUUUCUGGAACUGCCCUCCUGGAUUAUCAACCGCUUGCAGGCACAGUUGUAUUUGAAGCGUGGUGAACUUCAAGGUGCUGCUGGUGAGAUGGAGUGGUAAGAUUAAAAAAAUAAGCUUUUCAUCCUGGUUUCAUGUGUAUUAAUGCAUAAAUAACUGAGACACUGGAGCAGCUUUAAGCUAGCUAUUUAUAGCUUUUUAAGAAAAAUAAAUAUACAGCUUCCAAAAUGUCAGUAGCACCAUUUUCAUACUGAUUGCCCUGUUGGGGGUAUUGCUGAUUCUACUGCUUUUGUGUGUUUUCCAGACAUAACUGUGCUAUUUGCUUCAUUAUUGCACAACCUCAGCAUUCACAUACUCUAUAAAGCUAAAUCAGACAACGAUUGAAAAUUUGGGCAGUAAGUCCCGAGCAAUAUUAUUUUGAAUGACUGGUCUCCCCCACAGAGGGAGAAAUAAACAGGAUGCUUGGCUGAGAGGGCCUUAAAACCCAAAUCUGACUAUGUCAGCUCUUCAGCCUCAUGUUUUGGGUGACUGUGGUUGCCUGUUUGUUCUAUUUCCUACAUAUGUUGGGCCAGUGUUAGUGGUUAUGUAAAUGUGUCCGGAGGGUAAGUUCUGUUUAACCAAAGAUAUUUCCAGUAAUGGUGUUGUUUUCUUGGAAAUGCCUGCCUGGCUGUCUUUUUCUAGAAUUAUCUACCAGAUAAAUCAAAAUCGUUUUUGAAAAAUGCACUUGAGCUGCAGGCCAGGCCUCCAUACAGCUUCUUUCAGCCAAAUGUCAGCAGAGAGCCUGAUCAAAGCAUUUUCCUCUGGACACAUUCAAAAUUGUGAAAGAUGAGACAUUAAAUUUCUGAUAGUGAAUUAUUAUCAACUAGCAAGAACUGUUGAGAGAAUAGAGCAUAUUUGCAACGGUUGACCUCUGUUUAGGGGGAAUCUAUGGGAAUAAGAGCAUCUAGACACAACUUGUUAUGGGAAGCAGUUUACUCAGAGCUGUCUCUUUAUUAGUCACCUAAGAAUUCAUUUCAGACAGACAUUUCCCAUACACAUUUUCCUGAGAUGCAACUCAUGUUGCAUCUUUAAUGUUCAAAUAAUUUAGGCAUCUCCUAGAGCAAUCCUGAUGGCUCCAAAACUGCAUUUCUUCCUCUUAUUUCCUUCUAAUGCUUUAGCAGUGUGGUUUGGGAGGUAUUUUUGUCAGGACACAGCCUUGAGUCAUGCCAGGCCAAGAUGCUGACAGAUUCCAUCAGUCUGGUUUGCCAAAGUGGCUGUUCUUUAAAACUGGUACUAAAACAAACCUGGCUUUUGUGAGCAUCAGCACUGGAAACUCAGAUUGAAAGGUUAAGGUUUUAAAAAAAUGACAUCUCUGAUGUGACAGCCAGUUAACUUGUUCACCAGCAUUAGGCAGAAAUCUGGGACUUGAAGGGCUCAGAAAACUGUUUUGGUGACAUUUGUUGUGUAUCUUCUUUCAAGUCCAAAAUCUUUGAAAUUCUUCUUUAAAAAGUAACUGGUAAACUUUUCUCUAAAAUAAAUAUUUUCUGGUUGCCUUUUGAGAUAAAUUACAAGCAUUGAGGAAGGCAAUUCUCUUCACAGAGGGGGCCCUCUGUAAAAACUGCAUUUAACUUACAGCAAUAGCAAAAGGGGAUAAUUUUUGUACAGGGAAAUUGGGGAAGGCCCCUUUUUAUGGGAAUUGAAAGCUACAUGGGAGAGAGAAGAGGUAAACAAAACCGAUGGUGGGAAAGAUGCAAAGGAAAAACAAUGGAAGACAUCAAAGCAAUUGGAAAUGAAAGCAGAACAAUUUCAGCAUUGUCCUACUGUUGACAAAUUACAGCCCAAAAUAUCUUCCUCAUACGAUGAAAGUGCAAACAUUUAAAAUAUGCUCUUCUUUUAUUAAAUAACUAUGUGAAGGAGGUACUUUUUUAAAAUGAGCACACAUCUGAGAACCAAUGUGGCUGAUUUCAGUCACAAAACCAAUUCCUUUAAUUAUUUUUGUUGGUUGAG
Non-coding RNA from Taeniopygia guttata (zebra finch), 3642 nucleotides. Lineage: Eukaryota; Metazoa; Chordata; Aves; Passeriformes; Estrildidae. The record is from RefSeq and is a predicted model, not a curated record.